AUGAAGGUGUUCAGAGGCAAGAUUUGGGCAGCACUAGGGUCACUCAUGGAUCAUGUAGGCGCAGCCUCCAACAAGGCUUCCACGGCGGCGGUGCCAGACCGAGCGCUCCUCACGGACAUCGAGGCGGCCAUCGCGCGGUGCACGGACGGUGGAGGGGGCGGGAGCGUCGGUGACGACCGCCACGUCCACGAGAUCCUCUUCCUCGUCUCCAACGCCCCGGGCGCGAUCACCUUCCUCUCCCGCCGCAUCACGGCGCGCCUAGAGGCGGCGCGGACCCCGGCCACCGCGCUCCGGUCUCUGCUCCUCGUCCACCGCCUCCUCCGCGCGGGCGACCGCUACUUCGAGCAGGACUUCCGAGGCCUCUGGGCCUCCCGCGACCUCCGCGUCGACGCGCCACGUUGCGGCUGCUCCUGUUCUCCCCUCGCUGCCUCAGGCGCCGGCGCCAACUAUGUCACGGCCAGCACGGUGACCGCCACCGGCGCGUGCUCUUUCCUCCACGGCUACACGGCCUACCUCGAGGAGCGCAUGCAGUGGGUGAUCAACCAGUCCGGCAACCUGGAGCCCACCCGCCCCCCACCACAAGAUCACGACGACAAGCCGCACCCGGCCUCCUCCUACGAUGCCGUCGCCGCCGAGGAGCUCCUCUUCAAGCUCACCAUGUGCCAGAGGCUGCUUGACGUCGCUGUCCAGCUCCUUCCGGACAACAACACAAGCGCCAGCGCCGCCGCGCGGUCAGCCUUCGGCAUUGUCCUCCGGGAGAGCUUCAAGGUCUACGACUCCUUCAAUGACGGCAUCGACGUGCUGCUAAGGUCAAGAAGCGCCGGUCGUCUCAGCAAGUCUCUCAGGGUUUCAGCUCAGGGGGUGCUGAGGAAGGCGUGCGCUCAGACGCCUGAGCUGAAAGAGUUCUACCACAAGUGCAAGAAGAGCAAUGUCGGCAAGAUCACAGAGUACCCCGUCGUCAGGGUCGUUACGCCGGCGCAGGCCUCGGCAAUUGAGCUCAUGCCGCCGGUCUGUGAAGAGGAUGGUCGGAAGGAGCUUGGCGGCGCCGGUGUGGUAGCGGAGGAGAACGAAGGCGACGCGCCCUUUGAGAGCAAGCUGGAGACGACUAUCAGUGCGGUGUGGGUCGAGUUCGACGACGAAGAUCACCAGGCUGGCCGUGAGUUUACCCGGGAUGAUCACAGCAGCUAG
Molecule: ribosomal RNA, 1188 nt
Filed under: Triticum aestivum (bread wheat)
Lineage: Eukaryota; Viridiplantae; Streptophyta; Magnoliopsida; Poales; Poaceae
Description: partial small subunit ribosomal RNA
Source: RNAcentral